Molecule: long non-coding RNA, 1031 nt
Organism: Myxocyprinus asiaticus (Chinese sucker)
Lineage: Eukaryota; Metazoa; Chordata; Actinopteri; Cypriniformes; Catostomidae
Exons: 3
Source: RefSeq, a predicted model, not a curated record
UGUGGUGGAUACUGUGUUGUAUUGGAAAUAGACGGCGUAGUUUUUAUUAUACAAAUAAAAAUACGUAACAAUGGUGAAUGCUUGUUGUGUAAUUAACUGCCAUAAUCGCACUCACGACCGGUGUGGAAACCGUAUUUCAAAUGGAGUGUGAUUUUUCAGCUUUCCCGCCUGGAAACAACACAUUGGAACUCAGGUCUCCGAGUUAACAAAGUGGCGUCGCAUGGCAUGGGCAGCAGCAGUAAGACGGAAAAACAUCACCUUCAACAACAUUCCACGACACGUUUGUUUGUUCACGGCAUUUUCACAAAGGCAAACCAGCCUAUGAAAUGCUAGAGUGUGAUCCUGACUGGGUACCAUCAUUACAUCUCGGGCACAUAGAAGUUAAAGCAACGCACUCAAGGCGGUUUAACCGGAGAACACAGAGACAGCAAGCUGUCAGGGACUAACGCUGCACCUGCACCACUUGAUCUAGCUGACCAUAGACCAGAGAUGGAUGAAGCUGCAACACCAGAUGAUGCUUCACAGAUGGAUGACACUGGUUCAAAAGACUACACUGCAGAACAGCAGGGAUGUCUUUUUUGUAGCUGCAGGCGUGCCGAAAUUAACCGCUUGUUUAAGGAGAACAGGAGACUCUCUCAAAAGAAGAUGGAUGAGGAUUUUUUAAAAGAUGAUGACGUGAAGGUCAGGUACUACACUGGGCUUCCAUGUUUUGCGGUUCUGACGGGUGUGCUGACACAGCUUCUUCCCUGCCUGCCACAGACCGGCCGAAAACUUUAACAUUUUCAGAUGCUCCUCUCAACUCUGAUGCGCCUGAGGCUGAAUCUGCCGUGCGGUACCUCGUUAAGAUCAUCGGACCACUCUUUGUGUUCGUACGGAUCGAGCCUUUUGAUUUCCUUGAUUUUUUCUGUCCUUCCUCUCUCUCCUCUGCUGCUAAGUGUGUGACUGUGUCUGUGGGUGAGUUGGCUCCGCCCUCCCUCACGCAUCUUUGGUUCAUUGGUUGACACUGCGUGUCUGAUUGACAGGAACAACAG